CGUGGAGACAGGUGGUGCAUGGCUGUCGUCAGCUCGUGUCGUGAGAUGUUGGGUUAAGUCCCGCAACGAGCGCAACCCUCACCCCUGGUUGCCACCGGGUAAAGCCGAGCACUCGAGGGGAACUGCCAGCGUCAAGCUGGAGGAGGGCGGGGAUGACGUCAAGUCAUCAUGCCCCUUACGCCCUGGGCUACACACGUGCUACAAUGGCCGGUACAAAGGGACGCGAGACCGCGAGGUGGAGCUAAUCCCAAAAAACCGGUCUAAGUUCAGAUUGCAGUCUGCAACUCGACUGCAUGAAGGAGGAAUCGCUAGUAAUCGCGCAUCAGCACGGCGCGGUGAAUACGUUCCCGGGCCUUGUACACACCGCCCGUCACACCACGAAAGCUGUCUGUACUCGAAGUCGCUGAG
This 408-nucleotide ribosomal RNA is filed under the name uncultured Methylomirabilota bacterium. RNAcentral describes it as "bacterial SSU rRNA". It matches the Rfam family "Bacterial small subunit ribosomal RNA", at positions 1027 to 1434 of the family's 1533-position model. Lineage: Bacteria; Methylomirabilota (SeqCode). The record is from RNAcentral.